Lolium perenne is the source of this 3027-nucleotide long non-coding RNA. RefSeq lists it as uncharacterized. Lineage: Eukaryota; Viridiplantae; Streptophyta; Magnoliopsida; Poales; Poaceae. The record is from RefSeq and is a predicted model, not a curated record.
UCUCCCCAUCUACGCCGCCACCUGCUUCCAACCCCGGCCACAAAAACCACCGCAGCUCGACGCCGUCCGCCGCCGUCGCCAUGGACCAGCUCGAGCCAACCUGAGCAGUGGAACGGAACCGCCUCGGCUCCCUCUUAUUCCUCGACGUCUAUUCCCGGAACUCGAGCCGCCAAGUUCUGCUCGGAACCAUCCUCGUUGUCGCGCCUUCUUCUCGACCACCGACGGUUGCUGCACGUUCUUCUUCCUUUCCGGCCGUUUCUCUUCACCGCCAACCCCAGGACACCGACGCAGAGCAGUUCGAGCAGGGGUACGAGUUCCCCCUGGAAGAUCGUGUCGGUGCUUCUACCUCUGAUCUGACAGGCGAGCCCAUCCCUUCACCUAUUUUACAUUUACAUGCUCUUUUGAUCUAUUGCUAUCCUUAUGUCGCGAUUCUGUUGUGUCACGUGUCCUAUUCCACCUGUUACCUAUAUAUCCGAGAUACACCUCCUCGCCCUGCCGUUGUUUGUUGUUUGCCUGCUUUGCGAGUCGUGGGCGAGUUUAGGGUUUUCUGUUGAUAUCUCGAAAUGUUCGGGAUAUCUUGUUGGGAUGUUGACACAUGUACCACCUUUUCAAAAGGAUGAUGAUAACUUUUGCUACAACUUAAAAUUGCUAAGGGAUAUAAUAUUGCAGAGGCAUCGGUGAGCCCCUUUGCGAAAGCAUCGGAUAUUUGUCUCGCUUGUGUCCCCUAGGACCGAGUUCUUGUUAUCUGUUUCUAAGACUGAGCGCGCUAACCACUCGUGGGAGGAUUUAUCGGGACCCCCCAUCACCCAUUACCAUUUCUCAAGUCUGUUGAAAAGGGGGCCACAACCUUGGUUUUAUUUGCCUAUGCCAUGUAUGCCAUGCUUUAUCUACUGUUGCCUUCGGGUGUUUAUUUCCUGUUGCCUUCGGGUGUUUAUAUUCUGUAUUGUACCCCGCGGAACGUUUAGUGAAGCGUGUGGUUUGCACGCCUAGCCGUUAACGCAAACCCUGAGUCCGCAUCGGAGUACGGCCGAACUUCGUUUCAGGUAGCUUAGUCGGGUGGCCCCCCUAGGCAUUAUUGUUCAUCAGGGAACGGUCUUGUUAUGAGACUCCGCACUUGUCUAUGCGGGUUCGAUCAUGCAUGUAUGGUAACAUUGGUGCACCCCUGCAGGGUUAAAUCUUUUCGGAAAGCCGUGUCCGCGGUUAUGGAUGACUUGGAGCUGUUUAACUCGAUCAUAGAACAACUUACACCUAAUGUUGUCACUAAUAACUUAGAGCCCAUUGACACAUGGGAAGAGAUGCAAUAAGUCAUGCACAAACGCUUUGUGCCCACCUACCACAAACGUGACCUUUUCAACAAGCUCACUCAACUCAAGCAAAGCUUCAAGUCCGUUGAGGAGUAUUACAAGAAGAUUGUAACAUCCCAAGAACACCGACGCAGAGCAUUUCGAGCAGGAGUACGAGUUCCCCCUGGAGGAUCAUGUCGGUGCUUGUACCUCUGAUCUAACAGGCGAGCCCACCCCUUCACCUAUUUUACAUUUACAUACUCUUUUGAUCUAUUGCUAUCCUUAUGUCACGAUUCUGUUGUGUCAUGUGUCCUAUUCCACCUGUUACCUAUAUAUCCGAGAUACAACUCCUCGCCCUACCGUUGUUUGUUGUUUGCCAGCUUUGCGAGUCGUAGGCGAGUUUAGGGUUUUCUGUUGAUAUCUCGAAAUGUUCGGGAUAUCUUGUUGGGAUGUUGACACAUGUACCACCUUUUCAAAAGGAUGAUGAUAACUUUUGCUACAACUUAAAAUUGCUAAGGGAUAUAAUAUUGCAGAGGCAUCGGUGAGCCCCUUUGCGAAAGCAUCGGAUAUUUGUCUCGCUUGUGUCCCCUAGGACCCGAGUUCUUAUUAGCUGUUUCUAAGACUGAGCGCGCUAACCACUCGUGGGAGGAUUUAUCGGGACCCCCCAUCACCCAUUACCAUUUCUCAAGUCUGUUGAAAAGGGGGCCACAACCUUGAUUUUAUUUGCCUAUGCCAUGUAUGCCAUGCUUUAUUUACUGUUGCCUUCGGGUGUUUAUAUUCUGUAUUGUACCUCGUGGAACGUUUGGCGAAGCGUGUUGUUUGCACGCCUAGCCGUUAACGCAAACCCUGAGUCCGCAUCGGAGUACGGCCGAACUUCGUUUCGGGUAGCUUAGUCGGGUGGCCCCCCUAGGCAUUCUUGUUGAUCUGGGAACGGUCUUGUUGUGAGACUCCGUACUUGUCUAUGCGGGUUCGAGCAUGCCUGUAUGGUAACAUUGGUGCACCCCUGCAGGGUUAAAUCUUUUCGGAAAGCCGUGUCCGCGGUUAUGGACUUGGAGCUGUUUAACUCGAUCAUAGAACAACUUACACCUAAUGUUGUCGCUAAUAACUUACGAAUUACUUGCAUAGUAAGUUAGCCCUAUUAUAAUGGAAUGGAUGUAAAAUUUGGCAACUGUGUGAGUGCCUUGUUAGUACCUCUUGGCUAAGGGGGAUCCCAAUGGCACGGUUUGUUUGCAGAGUAUAGAACUCCUAGAAUAUGUGCUCUCUCAUCUUCUCUAUUAGACGGGUGUUGUAGCGUGUCUCUGUUGGAUAGUGCUUUGCCGCCGCUAAACUCCACCAUAUAGCCGGGCGAAGUUUACACCGCCCACCAGCAAGCAUAGCUGGUCUUGUCUCGCAAGUACGUGCCAUUUGGUACUUACCCUCGUUUUUCUUCCUCUUUGUUCGGAACACGCUUUUCGACAAACAGGUACGGCAGAUGAUGACCAGUACACAGGAGGAUACUUUUUCAAGUUCACGGACGACGACUUCGUUGCGUAGCAGGAUCUUUCCUAAGGCGGCAGCCAGUGGCAUGUUGGUUAUGGGAACACCGCUUGUUUAUCUCGAGGACUCUUAGUCUCAUUUGGUUCUUGUCUGUACCCAAACUAUUUUGCUAUCUUAUGUAUGAUGUAAUGUUGGGACAUGUGUCCUCUGAGUGUCAUUUGGAUCUUGCUCAUUAGAGCGUUGCUAUAUAUAUGAACCUUUAUUUCCA